This 515-nucleotide ribosomal RNA is filed under the name uncultured bacterium. Its description in RNAcentral is "bacterial SSU rRNA". It matches the Rfam family "Bacterial small subunit ribosomal RNA", at positions 28 to 535 of the family's 1533-position model. The record is from RNAcentral.
GAUGAACGCUAGCGGGAGGCUUAACACAUGCAAGUCGAGGGGCAGCAUAGGGUAGCAAUACUCUGAUGGCGACCGGCAAACGGGUGAGUAACGCGUAUGCAACCUACCCUGUACAGGGGGAUAACCCGGAGAAAUUCGGACUAAUAUCCCGUAAUAAUAUCCGGAGGCAUCUUUGGAUAUUUAAAGUUCCGACGGUACGGGAUGGGCAUGCGUAACAUUAGCUGGUUGGUAAGGUAACGGCUUACCAAGGCUAUGAUGUUUAGGGGUCCUGAGAGGGUGGUCCCCCACACUGGUACUGAGACACGGACCAGACUCCUACGGGAGGCAGCAGUGAGGAAUAUUGGUCAAUGGGCGCAAGCCUGAACCAGCCAUCCCGCGUGCAGGAAGACGGCCCUAUGGGUUGUAAACUGCUUUUCCAGGGAGAGAACUUACGCACGUGUUGCGUGACUGACGGUACCCUGGGAAUAAGCAUCGGCUAACUCCGUGCCCAGCAGCCGCGGUAAUUCACGUGUACC